RNAcentral lists this long non-coding RNA (4175 nucleotides) under Mytilus galloprovincialis (Mediterranean mussel). Lineage: Eukaryota; Metazoa; Mollusca; Bivalvia; Mytilida; Mytilidae. The record is from RNAcentral.
GCGCCGUGUUUGGAUAUUUUUAAAUUGUACCAGCGACUGUGAUGUUCGCUUAUUUUGUAUAAAUUUAAAGAUUUUGAUAGUGUUGUAAUUUGAAUAGAUUUACGUGAUUCAUUUUACAUCGUGCUAUUACCGAAGAAGGAUAUCUGUUAUCCGAAAUAUCUAAUAUUUGUCCAUUUCAUAGUUAUUGUUUGGGGAUGUUGUACCCUUUUUGACUUGUUAUAUAUAUAUAUAUUGUUUAUUUAUGGUUGUUUUUAUUUAUUUAAUUUUAGUGUGGCCCAAUAUUUCUCUUUCUCGAGACAACCUGUUAUGUUACCUUGCUUUUAUCAUUGUUAACUUUUAAAGGAAACUCUGCUUUCAACGAAAUACAGUAGCAAUAGCCAUAUGACAGACAUUUUCUACAAAGAUGCAAGUAUAUCGUUAAUAAACAAUGCAGAAAUAUGCGGAGGUAACAUAGAACUACGAUGCACUUUGAUGGGUUUACGGAUAGGAGCUGGCAGUAAAAGUGUCUUACCGGCAUGUAAUGGUAAAUAUUUACUAUGAUAUUAUUGAGUGAGUAUUUCUGUAUUUGCCUUGUUGUUGGUCUGAGGCUUGCUGUAUAGGCACGAGGCGAAGCCGAAGGCUAAUACAGCUGGCCGAGAACCAAUAACAAGACCAAUACAGAUACACGUAAUAGUAUCUUUAUUAAUUAACAAUAGUGUUACAAUAUUUUUAUACGACCGCAAAAAUUUUAAUUUUUUGGUCGUAUAUUGCUAUCACGUUGGCGUCGUCGUCGUCGUCGUCGUCGUCCGAAUACUUUUAGUUUUCGCACUCUAACUUUAGUAAAAAGAAUAGAAAUCAAUGAAAUUUUAACACAAGGUUUAUGACCACAAAAGGAAGGUUGGGAUUGAUUUUGGGAGUUUUGUCCCAAUUUAGGAAUUAGGGCCAAAAAGGGCCCAAAUAAGCAUUUUCUUGGUUGACUAUAACUUUAGUUAAGAAUAGAAAUCAAUGAAUUUACACAAGUUAAGACCACAAAGGACGGUUGGAUAUUUGGGAGUUCGAAACAUUUAGAAUUAAGGCAAAAAAGGGCCAAAUAGCAUUAUUUGGUUUCGACAAUAACUUUAUUAUAAGUAAAUAGAAACAAUGAAAUUUAAACCAAGUUUAUGACCACAAAAGAAAGUGAUAUUUUUGGAGUUGAGGUCACACAGUUUAUAAUAGGCCAAACAGGGCUCAAAUAAGCAUAUAAGAAAUAGAAUCGUGAAAUUAAACACAGGGUUUAGACAUAAAGGAGUUGGGUUUGAUUGGAUUUUGGUCCAAAGUUUAGUAAGGGACCAAAGGCAAAAUUGACUGGUGUGAUUUCAUCAAAAAUGAAUAAUGGUCUUGAUAGCGAAUCUAACUAUGAGAUAUUCUUAAUAUUGUCCCGUUUUCAAAUUGUCUACAUUAAGUCAAGGUCAAAAUAAACUAGUUGAUUUAACAAAAAAAUAAUCUGGGUCUUAUAUCUAAUUUAAGAAUGUACUAAGAUUUUAAUUAUGCCAGUUUCAGUUGUCAAAGGGCGUCCAAAUAAACUUGAUUCAUCAAAAAUGAAUAAAUGUCUGAUAUGCCAAAUCUAACUGUAGUAAUUUUUAAUUUUGGUCAGUUUCAAAUGCUACAUUCGCCCAAAGGUCCAAUAAACUAAUUGAUUUAACAAAAAAUAAUUCUUGGCUAUUUAUAUGCUUUAUCUAAACAUUACUUUGAUUUAUAUGCCCAGUUUUCAAGUGCCAACAAUCCAUAUCAAUAUGGCAAUAGCAUUCAUUUCAUGGAGUUAUCUUCUUGUAAGAGUAUGAAAUAUAUUGAUUGCCAGACAUGACUCUAUGAUUUUAUUUUAUGCCAAAACUUUAUGUAAAUAACUUCAUGGAAAUUGCCAAAUAUAAAAUGUUCUGAUGAAGCUUUUUUCCUUAUCAUUAAAGUUAAUAAUGAUGUGACAUGCCAGACAUGACUAUUAUUCAUUUUAUUUUAUUGCCAAACUAUGUUAAUUCCAUUGAAAUUUGCCCAUAAUAAAAUGUGGAUGAAGUUUUUUUUUAUAUGUUUUAAUUACAAAUAAACAAUGGUAUAUUCACUUUUACUACAACCAAUCUUACGCAUUCAAUGAUAAAAGCACUUUAUUUUACAUUUUAAAAUUUUAUGAAUGUAUUUAAAAGAUGUAUUGUUGAAACUCCAUAGAAAUUGAAUUGAUAUCAUUUGGAAAAAGAAACGAUGUGAAAAAAAGGGGUUAAAUUUUCCUCAUUUCAGAUCUCAUAAAAAAAAAAAUUUCUUCAACAUUUUUUAGAAUAUAUUCACAACAUAUUAAUUCUCAAAGGCAAAAAAAUUUAGUUCAUUAACCACAUUCAUUCUGUGUCAGAACCUAGCUGGCAAAUUUAAUUAGAUUAAAAGUUUGAAAGAAAAUUAAUUGAUUGUAAUCUUACUUGUUUCGGUAAAACCAUGUAAAUUCAAAAUUUAUCACAAUCCAAAUUCAGAGCUGUAUCACGCUUGAAUGUUUUGUCCAUACUUGCCCCAACUGUUCAGGAUUCGACCUCUGCGGUCGUAUAAAGCUGCGCCCUGCGGAGCACCUGGUUUCUUUUCAUUUCAUAUCAAAAUUUACAAGAGAUAAACAUUUUUACCUUGAAGUGGAACUAUCCAAAUCUCAGUUUCUUUUUAUAAGAUGAAAUAUCAAAUCAUCUGGUGCUUUUUUCAUCAUAUUAAGUCCAAUAACAGUGUAGUUAACUAAUAAAGAAAUAUUAUUGUUUGAAUUGAUGAUUUUCUCUUGCUAAACGUCACGAAAGAUGCCUUUACUUUAUGAAGUCUAUUUUUUCUAGCUACAUAUGUAUAUAAAUGUCAUGUGAUCUUCUAAGGUAAACAAGCAUGUGUUCAUCUAGAGUCGACAGAUAAAGCAACUAAUACCGAACAUGGUAAUAAUAAAAACAUGCAUUGGCGUUACUAAUUAACAUUUGUAAUGGUUUCUCACUUAUGAAAUUUGUAUGAAAAAGGGGAGGUUUAAUUUGUUUACUUUUUGUUUUAUUUUCAUUUGUUUUAAUGGAAUCUAUCUUCAUUAAAACUUGGUUAUUAGAAUACAAAAGUUUCAUAUAUAUGUGUACAAUACAUGUUUUACAAGGACAGGCUUUAGUCUCAUUAUUUAACUCCAAAUAUCAUAAAUAAAUGAUACAUACAUGUAUUUUGUUACAGAAAAACAUUUCAAAAUAACAACUGUGAGAAAUAUUCCUGAAUCUGUAUUUCUUUUCUUGAGUAUUUCUGCUGCUGUCUUUGUAACUACAUGUAUUGCGGUAGCAGUAUGUUUGAAUCGUGGUAAAAGAAAAGCAUUGCUUAAACCAAAAAAUGAAGAAAACAAUCAGCUGCAGGUAAAACAAAUCAUAGUUUAUUUCCUUAUUUUCAUAUUCUGUUUUACAAAGUCAGAUAUUUUAACAAGAAAAGUGAUUCAAGAUCUAAAACCUAAUCUUGUGGCGAACUUUCGAUUUAUCAUUUACUAUACAAAUUUUUUCUAUAAAGCUUAAAGCUCACAUAAUUCAUUGCACUUUUUGUUCAAAUGAAACAAUUAUCUUGUCUUUCCUUUUACUGAGGAUUUUUCGUUAAUAAUACUGAGAAUCAGAAAACUAUUCUUUUUUUUUACAAAACAAACCAUUUUGAAAGAAUAUUGCCACACUGCCUUAAAUAGAUGACAGCAUGUCCAACGAAAGAAAAACAAUUAGGAAGACUGUUGUUAUGUGAUUGCUAAUUAAUUACUACGCCCAGAUAAAUUACUAAAUAGUUUGUUUGGGAUGUUCAUUUGUCAAACUCCUUAAAAUAUCCUGAAGAGUGGUCUACCUUGAACUACAAGUUAACCCACACCCACUUUAAUCAACUAUAUCAUUCAACCCGUCUUACUGACGGAUGGGAGAAGUCCAAGGAUGUCACUAUUUCAAUACUCAUUUCGUUAAAAAGUUUUGUUUGCAGAAAAUUGGAAAAAGGGGGGUCGUUAUUCAAAAGAAUUGUGUAUGUUGAAUAUCUUGAAAUAGCGCUGGUAUACGUUGAAAAAUCGAUCAUUUAAUCAAAUUUAUAACAUAACAUGUCUAUCGAAAUAAGAAACUGCUAACUACACACUCCAUGUUCUCUUUUGUAGAUUCCGUUAAAUCCACCACCACUUUGACUUUAAGAUCUGCUACAAGGAUUUUCUUCGAUAUCGAUUCACG